GCUAUAGCUCAGUGGUAGAGCAUCUCCUCCACAUGCAGAAGGUCCUGGGUUCAAUCCCUUUCAUCUGCA
Non-coding RNA from Podarcis lilfordi (Lilford's wall lizard), 69 nucleotides. The record is from the annotation of a GenBank genome assembly. Lineage: Eukaryota; Metazoa; Chordata; Lepidosauria; Squamata; Lacertidae.